Molecule: ribosomal RNA, 443 nt
Filed under: uncultured bacterium
Lineage: Bacteria
Description: partial 16S ribosomal RNA
Rfam family: Bacterial small subunit ribosomal RNA
Source: RNAcentral
CCUACGGGUGGCAGCAGUGGGGAAUAUUGCACAAUGGGGGGAACCCUGAUGCAGCAAUGCCGCGUGAAGGAUGAAGGUUUUCGGAUUGUAAACUUCUUUUGUUCGGGACGAAGAAAGCGACGGUUCCGUAAGAAUAAGCCACGUCUAACUACGGGCCAGCAGCCGCGGUACUACGUAGGUGGCAAGCGUUAUGCGGAUUUACUGGGUGUAAAGGGCGAGUAGGGGGGAUGGGAAGUCAGAUGUGAAAACUAGGGGCUCAACCGAGAGAGUGCAUUUGAAACUGCAGUUCUUGAGUGAAGGAGAGGCAGGCAGAAUUCCUGGUGUAGCGGUGGAAUGCGUAGAUAUCGGGAGGAACACCAGUGGCGAAGGCGGCCUGCUGGACAUUAACUGACGCUGAGGCGCGAAAGCGUGGGGAGCAAACAGGAUUAGAUACCCUGGUAGUC